This 502-nucleotide ribosomal RNA is filed under the name uncultured bacterium. RNAcentral describes it as "partial 16S ribosomal RNA". It matches the Rfam family "Bacterial small subunit ribosomal RNA", at positions 30 to 523 of the family's 1533-position model. The record is from RNAcentral.
AUUGAACGCUGGCGGCAUGCUUUACACAUGCAAGUCGAACGGCAGCACGGGUGCUUGCACCUGGUGGCGAGUGGCGAACGGGUGAGUAAUGCAUCGGAACGUAUCCAAUAAUGGGGGAUAACGCACCGAAAGGUGUGCUAAUACCGCAUACGCCCUGAGGGGGAAAGUGGGGGACCGUAAGGCCUCACGUUAAUGGAGCGGCCGAUGCCUGAUUAGCUAGUUGGUGAGGUAAAGGCUCACCAAGGCGACGAUCAGUAGCUGGUCUGAGAGGACGACCAGCCACACUGGGACUGGGACACGGCCCAGACUCCUACGGGAGGCAGCAGUGGGGAAUUUUGGACAAUGGGCGCAAGCCUGAUCCAGCCAUGCCGCGUGAGUGAAGAAGGCCUUCGGGUUGUAAAGCUCUUUCGCAAGGAAAGAAAACUUAUCCCCUAAUACGGGAUGAGGAUGACGGUACCUUGAUAAGAAGCACCGGCUAACUACGUGCCAGCAGCCGCAGUAA